GGAUACUGCAGCUGAAGGGUGACCUGCACUGUGUGACAAAACCAGCUGGAAGAGCAGCAUUCUGAUGCAACAGGAUGUGUAUACAUUGUACAAAACAGGUUCACUUGGACGUCAUGGCUGAUUCAAGACUCGUGUACCACCUGUGAUGUGCCUGACUGCAUCCAGGGCAGUUUUUGUAUACCUUUGUCAAACAGCCACCAUUUUGGCUGCUAGCAAGUUUGUUCUUAACCAAAACUGGAAAAAACUGCAUAGCUUGCACA
Grus americana (Whooping crane) is the source of this 260-nucleotide long non-coding RNA. RefSeq lists it as uncharacterized. NCBI's taxonomy places the organism in Eukaryota, Metazoa, Chordata, Aves, Gruiformes, Gruidae. The record is from RefSeq and is a predicted model, not a curated record. The transcript has 3 exons.